RNAcentral lists this non-coding RNA (95 nucleotides) under Pseudoruminococcus massiliensis. RNAcentral's name for it is "THF riboswitch". It matches the Rfam family "THF (Tetrahydrofolate) riboswitch aptamer". From Rfam's summary of the family: THF riboswitch presents a pseudoknot that joins P1-P2 and the loop of P3 and two THF binding. Lineage: Bacteria; Bacillati; Bacillota; Clostridia; Eubacteriales; Acutalibacteraceae. RNAcentral also lists the same sequence under 1 other name. The record is from RNAcentral.
CAGAGUAAGAUUGUGUGCGUUAAGUGUCAUACGAACGGGGAGUUGUCGUAUGAACGAAAAGAAUUUCUUGCGGUACGCAGUCUGCAUCCCGCUGU